ACAGAUCGUUCAGAGUUUGAUCCUGGCUCAGAGCGAACGCUGGCGGCAGGCUUAACACAUGGCAAGUCGAGCGGGCGUAGCAAUACGUCAGCGGCAGACGGGUGAGUAACGCGUGGGAACAUACCUUUUGGUUCGGAACAACACAGGGAAACUUGUGCUAAUACCGGAUAAGCCCUUACGGGGAAAGAUUUAUCGCCGAAAGAUUGGCCCGCGUCUGAUUAGCUAGUUGGUGAGGUAACGGCUCACCAAGGCGACGAUCAGUAGCUGGUCUGAGAGGAUGAUCAGCCACAUUGGGACUGAGACACGGCCCAA
This 312-nucleotide ribosomal RNA is filed under the name uncultured bacterium. RNAcentral's name for it is "bacterial SSU rRNA". It matches the Rfam family "Bacterial small subunit ribosomal RNA", at positions 1 to 334 of the family's 1533-position model. The record is from RNAcentral.